CCAGCUCCAAUAGCGUAUAUUAAAGUUGCUGCAGUUAAAAAGCUCGUAGUUGAACUUCAGGCCUGGCCGGGUGGUCUGCCUCACGGUAUGCACUGUCUGGCUGGGUCUUACCUCUUGGUGAGCCAGCAUGCCCUUCACUGGGUGUGUUGGGGAACCAGGACUUUUACCUUGAGAAAAUUAGAGUGUUCAAAGCAGGCCUAUGCCCGAAUACAUUAGCAUGGAAUAGUAAAAUAGGACGUGCGGUUCUAUUUUGUUGGUUUCUAGAGUCGCCGUAAUGAUUAAUAAGGAUAGUUGGGGGCAUUAGUAUUCAGUUGCUAGAGGUGAAAUUCUUGGAUUUACUGAAGACUAACUACUGCGAAAGCAUUUGCCAAGGAUGUUUUCAUUAAUCAAGAACGAAGGUUAGGGGAUCGAAAACGAUCAGAUACCGUUGUAGUCU
This 436-nucleotide ribosomal RNA is filed under the name uncultured eukaryote. Its description in RNAcentral is "SSU rRNA". It matches the Rfam family "Eukaryotic small subunit ribosomal RNA", at positions 585 to 1026 of the family's 1831-position model. The record is from RNAcentral.